GAUUCUCUCUUUAAUGUUUAUCUUAUCAAUACAUGUAAUCCACUAAGGGUUUAUGAGAAUUGUUGAAGUACAAGUACUAAUUAGUAGUUUAAAUCCUCUAUAUGUAAAGUGUUUGCAAAGAAUGGAUGCUGUUCAUCAAACCCCUGAUUAACAGUGAAAACACUGUAUGCUUUGCUUUCCACUUUCCUUUUCAUCUUCCAUUUCCACUUUCUUUCUCAUUUCUUUCCCCGUUUUUCUCUCUUCUCCUCGAGCUUCUUCUUCUUCCUCCUUUGACCCACCAUCAACUUUGACGAUUCUGCAUCGCCGGAGAAUUUUUUUCAGAAUAAUUCAAUUGCUGAUUGUUUUUUUGUUUCAUCUGGUUUCGUUUGUUCAUUUCUAGAUUUGGGUUCGUUUAUUCUUGUUUUUCGUUUGUUCUUCAAUUGUUUUUUUGUUCAUUAUAUGUAGUGUUUCUAGCAUCAGUAAUCAACCGUGUUGCUUGUCGUUGCCACUCAAGUUCAUGACUCCUACUUUCAAUAAUUUUGUUUUGUUGUUUAUAUUUAAGAUUUUCACCAUUUUUCAGACACUAUAUCUGCUGGUGUGCUUCGGAAUUACAUGGAUCCCAAUAGCCGGGGUUUUGUUUCCUCUUAUUAUCAUGCUUUUAGUUCCUGUAAGACUAUACAUUCUGCCCAAGUUUUUCAAAGGAACCCAUCUCCGGGAUUUAGAUUCAGUCGAAUUUGAAGAGUCGCCCGCUUUACCCUUCAAUCUUGCAACGGUACUAUAUAUUCGUGUAUACUCGAGUGUCGAGACUACAUUUACUGUUUAUGUUAUUGAAAGUUAGGAUUUAUACGAGUAGUUGUCUCAAGGUAAUUACUUUACUAAUUACUUCAUUUCAGUUUUUUGCUAUUUAAAUUUCAACUUAGUUCGCUUUUCUUCACUCUUUUCUUCCUUUUUUUUGCUAUCGAGAACUAAUGGAGGCUGGAAUUAUUGAUCCUACAAAGGUAUAGUGAGUUUCGUUCAUCUAUAGAACAAUCAACAAUUUUUAUAGAUUUCAACCAGCAAAAGUUAGGGUUUAUACGAGUCUUGUCUCAAGGUAAUCACUAAUUACUUUAUUUCAGUUUUUUGCUAUUUAAAUUUCAACUUCUAAAAUAGGAUUGAUGAAGCUUGAAGCAACGAAGGGUGAGCCAAACACUGUUUUACAAGAAAAAAGUUCAUAUUUUUUGUGUUGUUUUAGUGGUUGAUUAAUGGUGUGUCUUGAAUUUGCAUUAGUUGUUUGAGUCUAAAGUUUGUUGUUUAUGAAACUUAAAUUUGACUUUUUUGUAUAUUCUUGUGUUCGGGAUUUAUUAGGAUGAUGAUGAUGGUGAUAAUUGUGGGUAAAUUUAAAUUUCAACUUGGUUCGUUUUUCUUCGCUCUUUUCUUCUUUUUUUUAUUGAUCCUACAAAGGUAUAGCGAGUUUCGAUCAUCUAUAGAACAAUCAACAAUGUUUAUAGAUUUCAACCAGCGAAAAUUAGGGUUUAUAUGAGUCGUUGUCUUAAGGUAAUUACUAAUUACUUCAUUUCAGUGACCAGCAUAAGACAACAUUACUCAUCAUAAUGCUUAUGAUUCCUACUAAAACAACCACUAAAACAACACAAAAAUCUGAACUUUUUUAUUGUAAAACAGUGUAUGAAUGCAGUCUGAGUAGUGUAUUUGCAGUGGAUUAGUUGUAUGAGUCUAAAGUUUGUGCAAUGAUUGUUGGUAGCUACUUUAAGUUCUUAGCCAAUUGCUAGGGACAUCCUCAACUGAGGCUUAGUAUCUUUGUGUAAAUGCUUUGUAUUUAUUUCAUUGAUCGAUUAAGUUGAAAUUGAUUUUAAGUGAUUUUGCAAAAUUCCAAUUUGUUUGUUGAAAACUCUUUGUAGGGUGGGAUACGAAUAUACAUCUGUGAUCAUGAGACAACUCCCCCAGGCAUGUAUUAGCAUUGUGUCAUAGCUUGCAUGAUGCCGUCAUAAAGUUAGUUUGUGGAAUGUUCCCAUAUUUCACCUUAUUCUCAUUAAACUCAGUAAACGUGAAAUUAGGUUGUGUUUACAAGUUGUACUAAUUUUUUAAAAGAAACAAUCCUUUAGAAUAUAAUUAAAAGUUUGAAAUAGAAUUAAUGCUAUUACAAAUCAUUAAAAAAAGGGCAUCACAAUGUACAAUGCAUCCCCGCAAAGGUUCCCACCAAGAGGCGUACCGUAGGAAAACCUUUGCAUUUUUGCAAGAGGCGAACCGGUGCGCCAAGACUCCCCUUCACUAUUAUUAUCCUAUUCCUAUAUCUUGAACAAAGUAAGAUGAUGAAUUACGAUGAUGAAAUACAAACCUAAUCUAGGAUCCAUUUGUGGUAUACAUCGUACUUCAACUUUUAUAUCUCUUCCACUUUAAGUUUUACAAGAAUGACAUUAGCGAUUCAAUCAACAAAAAAAAAUGAAGAUGUCGAAGAGUGUGGAAGUCGUUUAAUGUUCAUUGUCAACUAAAUAACACUACUUGAUGGAAAACUUCCUAGCCAAAGAGUGACUAGAAAUGAAAUAAAGAAUCUACAUUGAUCUUUUCUAUUAUUUUGAAAUAUAGAAUAAACCAUUAAUAGGCAUACAAGUAUUACUUAUUAAGCUAGAAAAUAGGAUAGUGUAAGUAGUUAAAGACCCAUUACAUGAUACUGUUCCUAAUAAAUCCUAACAAAACUAAAUAAUAAAUUUGCACACUUAAUACUACUAAUUCUUAAAAGUAAUUGCCCUUACAAUCUAAAUCAUUAACAAAUAUUUUGACAAUAAUCAUCUAACAAAAUAAUCAUGAAAUUAAAUACAAAAACUCCCCAGUUAAAAAGGAGUUAAUCAACACAUAAUUUAAGAAUGAUACAUAGAGUAACAAAGAUGACUAAAUGUGGUAUCAACAUUUUGAGUGACUCAGAGGUGAAUUUGUCUAGAAAAAAAAAAGGCAUAGAUUGCUAUUAGAGAAGAAGUGUUCAGGAACAUAUGAAUUUGAAAAUUCCUCUCAACAUAAAACAUUUGCAAGGGAAGAAUAUUGUUCAUCCUAAUUUUUAUUAUGAGAUUUCUAAGAAAAUUUAAUUUAGGUUCAAGAUCAAAGACACGAUUAAGAUCAGAUUUAGGGUUUUUUUUGUCAUUUUUGUUCUUCAUUAUUUUUGGGUUUUUAUGUUCGAAAACUUUGAAUAUUGCAUUAGGGAGUGAAGCUUUAGGGUACUACUGAAUAAUUAAGGUCUGAUUUUUAGGUGCCCAGCACAAAUGGAAUCGUGUAAUGACUUCUUUAACUUCUUUUGUUUUAGUGGGGAUUUUUGCACGUCGUUUACUUUUGAGUUUUUAUGAUUUUAAUGUUUUUUAAGAUUGUUUUGAUAUGUGAUUUUUAAUCUGAGUUUUUAUUUUGGUUUUUUGCCUUAAAUUUAUUAUGAGUUUCAAUUAGAAUGUUUACAAUACAUUUGUUGUGUGAUUCAUGGUAAGAUUUGAGUUUUUGUGAUUCUCCAUAUUCAAUAAAUAGGUAAUUUUUGGUUUUUGAUUCUCCGAUUUCUUCAUUUUUCUUUGUCUUGAGUGUAAUUGGGUAAAUACUAUGCUAUUGUUGCUGUUGUUGUUUUGUUAUUUUGUUGAGGUUGAUCUAUAUCCUUGAGUGUAGACAGACUAAUUUCCCACGCAACACAAGGGUACAACCAGCUUCCAUGUAGCCUUAUUGCUUGACUGCUAUUGUGCUGCCCUGUUGUGUUGUCUUCACCCAAAGGUGAAACAUCAUUGGUUUAAGUGUGUGCAAACCUGUUAUGUUGCUGCGUAGGUGUUGGUGUGUUGGUGUGCAACGUGUGCAAUUGGUGAGCAGCGUUGGUGUUGGUGUUUGUAGGUGCAAUAGCAUAUGCAAAGUACUGCUUUAGUUAUGAAAAAUGUAUUUGAGCGGUUAAUUUACAUUUUAGUUGUUUCUCUAUGGAGUUCUUUGUUGGUUUAGGUUAUCGUUUUGCUUUGCUUUGCUUUGGUUCUUGUGUUAUUUACUUUGAGAUUACAUGAUGGUAUCUCUAAUGAUAAACAUUAUAAUGGUUUAGGUUAUCCUUUUGCUUUUCUUUUGUUAUGAAUAAUGUACUUGAGAUUACUUGACAAAGCGUAUUGAUUUUAUAGAAUUGGAAAGAAGCUGAGUUUCAAUCUCUUUUUAUGCUUGAUGAAAGGUGACCUUGGCUCUCUUUAUUUUUUUCCACCAUCAGAACUACUUGCUAGAUCUUGAUUAGAUUUGAUUUGUUUUGAUUUGAUUUGUUGAUGUAGAUUGUUAAAAUGCUCUGCAGCUAAUAUAAUAUAUACUCCAUUUUAUAUUGGUGUAUGGCUGUUUUCCUCUGUUAAAAUCUAUGAGUAUUCAGAACAUUUUAUCUAUUGCUUUAUUUGAUAAGUUCGCAUAUUGUGUAUGCAAUUUCGUUUGAAACUUUUGAAAAAAAGUAUGCUUGAAAUUUGAGUUUGAAAAGGAUAUUCAAAAAAAUUUGGGUGUGUUCAUCGCUUUGUUUUUUAUUCCUUUUCAAAAAUGUAGUUACGUUAAUCUAUAAAUAAACGCUUCGUCGUCUUUAGAAAUAAUCAUAAAGGGAAGAAAGGAACAAACACUAAUGCACUCCACGUAGCCAAUUAGCGCUAAAUCUAAUAUUACAAGAUAUGGUUGGAGAGGUCUACUUACAUUGUACUUUUAUAAUUAUUAACACUUCAAAUUCAAGGUUAAAAUUUUGAAUUGUUUCUCUCACUCAUUCUUCCGACAACAAGAUUGAUAACAUAUGGACCUAUUUUUUCUGAGCAUAAGGCUUUGUGCAGCUAUGUACAGCAGGUGAUGGAUGUGGGCACAGAAGGACUAAAUGGGGUGCACGAGGGCGCCAGACAGAGAGUGUUGGACGCUUACUGGCAAGACUGGGAGUGCUGAAUGUGACCUCAUUUUAGUUACUUUGUGUAACCGGAUUGAUGCCGUGGUGUUCUUGUCUGUACUCUGUUCAAGCUUGUUGGGUCAAAGUUGCUGCUCUGUCUUGGUGUAAAUGUCAGGAUUCCAUGGGUCUUUGAAAAGGCAGCAAAGAUUUAGAAUAAGUUGGGGACACUCUUUGUUGUGCUGUAUGCAGUCUGUCCUAUUGAUGGUCAUUAGGUAUUGUGGGACAUAAUUAGUUUACUAAUUUCUCAAUGGGACUGUUGUUAUUGGGCUGGUGCCAGUGUUGCCUUUGUAAAGAACAAGGCCCGAGAGACUAAUUUGUGCACUAAUAUAUGUUUAGCAAUUGAAGGUGACUGCAUUGCUGCUGGUUGCCCCUUGAGGAUCUAAUCAGUUACCCACACUAUUGGCAGUUGAAAAGGUAAAAGAGCAGCUGAUUCACCUGUGGUAGAAUACAUUUGAUAACUUUUGUCUUGUAUCAUAGCAUCGAAUAGUUGCAAGUGAACCAGAGCCGAAGUUGUAUAGUAAACUGCUGGCAAGCCUCAAAACCAUUCGGAUAUGAAUGGGGUACCAUGACCUGUGUUUACUAGACACACAUGAAUGAGAUCCGAAACUGGCUUGUAUAUGAUUUCCUUGACCACGUAACCAUUACUCACGGUAUCCCAAAAGUUGACUCCAAUGUACAAAUCAAAUUUGGAGGUACAUUAAGUUAUAACCUUUGCUCUAAUUAAAAUACUUGCUUUCUAUCCCA
Amaranthus tricolor (Joseph's coat) is the source of this 5614-nucleotide long non-coding RNA. RefSeq lists it as uncharacterized. The transcript is spliced from 2 exons. The record is from RefSeq and is a predicted model, not a curated record. NCBI's taxonomy places the organism in Eukaryota, Viridiplantae, Streptophyta, Magnoliopsida, Caryophyllales, Amaranthaceae.